UACGAAGGGGGCUAGCGUUGCUCGGAAUCACUGGGCGUAAAGCGCACGUAGGCGGAUUGUUAAGUCGGGGGUGAAAUCCUGGAGCUCAACUCCAGAACUGCCUUCGAUACUGGCGAUCUUGAGUCCGGGAGAGGUGAGUGGAACUCCGAGUGUAGAGGUGAAAUUCGUAGAUAUUCGGAAGAACACCAGUGGCGAAGGUGGCCUGCUGGGCAGUAGCUGACGCUGAGGCGCGACAGCGUGGGGAGCAAACAGG
Molecule: ribosomal RNA, 253 nt
Filed under: uncultured prokaryote
Description: partial 16S ribosomal RNA
Rfam family: Bacterial small subunit ribosomal RNA
Source: RNAcentral